This 432-nucleotide ribosomal RNA is filed under the name Triticum aestivum (bread wheat). RNAcentral describes it as "partial small subunit ribosomal RNA". The record is from RNAcentral. Lineage: Eukaryota; Viridiplantae; Streptophyta; Magnoliopsida; Poales; Poaceae.
AUGGAUGUGGUUUCCCUUGUCACGGUAGGUUGGUUUUGCGCUUCACAGGCGGACGUGUCCAUGGACGAGGUGUACGCGCAGCUCUCGCUGCUCCCCGAGAACGAGCCUCGGCCUGAUCUGCUGCAGGAGGUGGUCCAGCGGAUGCGCGAGUCCACUGAGGAUGGGAGCGGCGGCGAGGACGGCGAGACUGUCAAGCAGCGCUUCGCGAGGAUGUCGCACAUGUUCUGCAAGACGCUCACCGCCUCCAACACCAGCACCCAUGGCGGCUUCUUCGUGCCAUGCCGUGCCGCCGAAGACUGCUUCCCGCCUCUGGUGCUCUCAUUGGCCUGCCAGGCCCCUCUCUCCAUUGAUUCUGACAUUGGUUCCUGCUAUGAUUGCAGCCAGCAGCGGCCGUCUCAGGAGCUGGUCGCCAAGGAUUUUGGUUCUGUGUAG